RNAcentral lists this ribosomal RNA (459 nucleotides) under uncultured bacterium. RNAcentral describes it as "partial 16S ribosomal RNA". It matches the Rfam family "Bacterial small subunit ribosomal RNA", at positions 338 to 795 of the family's 1533-position model. The record is from RNAcentral.
CCUACGGGUGGCAGCAGUGAGGAAUAUUGGUCAAUGGGCGCGAGCCUGAACCAGCCAAGUCGCGUGAGGGAAGACGGUCCUAUGGAUUGUAAACCUCUUUUGUCGGGGAGCAAAAGACGCCACGCGUGGCGUUACGAGAGUACCCGAAGAAAAAGCAUCGGCUAACUCCGUGCCAGCAGCCGCGGUAAUACGGAGGCUGCGAGCGUUAUCCGGAUUUAUUGGGUUUAAAGGGUGCGCAGGCGGAAGAUCAAGUCAGCGGUAAAAGUGAGAGGCUCAACCUCUUCGAGCCGUUGAAACUGGUUUUAUUGAGUGGGUGAGAAGUAUGCGGAAUGCGCGGUGUAGCGGGGAAAUGCAUAGAUAUCGCGCAGAACUCCGAUUGCGAAGGCAGCAUACCGGCGCUCAACUGACGCUUAUGCACGAAAGUGUGGGUAUCGAACAGGAUUAGAUACCCCAGUAGUC